This 440-nucleotide ribosomal RNA is filed under the name uncultured bacterium. Its description in RNAcentral is "partial 16S ribosomal RNA". It matches the Rfam family "Bacterial small subunit ribosomal RNA", at positions 338 to 795 of the family's 1533-position model. The record is from RNAcentral.
CCUACGGGAGGCAGCAGUGGGGAAUAUUGCACAAUGGGGGAAACCCUGAAGCAGCGACGCCGCGUGAGGGAAGAAGUAUUUCGGUAUGUAAAGCCCUAUUAUUAGGGAAGAAAAUGACGGUAUCUGACUAAGAAGCCCCGGCUAACUACGUGCCAGCAGCCGCGGUAAUACGUAGGGGGCAAGCGUUAUCCGGAUUUACUGGGCGUAAAGGGAGCGUAGACGGGAGAGCAAGUCAGAUGUGAAAGCCUACGGCCUAACCGUAGGACUGCUUUUGAAACUGUCCGGCUAGAGUGCUGGAGAGGUAGGCGGAAUUCCUGGUGUAGCGGUAAAAUGCGUAGAUAUCAAGAGGAACACCAAUUGCGAAGGCGACUUGCUAGACAAUAACUGACGUUGAGGCUCGAAAGCGUGGGGAGCAAACAGGAUUAGAUACCCCAGUAGUC